RNAcentral lists this ribosomal RNA (785 nucleotides) under Lactiplantibacillus plantarum. Its description in RNAcentral is "bacterial SSU rRNA". It matches the Rfam family "Bacterial small subunit ribosomal RNA", at positions 52 to 803 of the family's 1533-position model. Lineage: Bacteria; Bacillati; Bacillota; Bacilli; Lactobacillales; Lactobacillaceae. The record is from RNAcentral.
UAUAAUGCAGUCGACGAACUCUGGUAUUGAUUGGUGCUUGCAUCAUGAUUUACAUUUGAGUGAGUGGCGAACUGGUGAGUAACACGUGGGAAACCUGCCCAGAAGCGGGGGAUAACACCUGGAAACAGAUGCUAAUACCGCAUAACAACUUGGACCGCAUGGUCCGAGUUUGAAAGAUGGCUUCGGCUAUCACUUUUGGAUGGUCCCGCGGCGUAUUAGCUAGAUGGUGGGGUAACGGCUCACCAUGGCAAUGAUACGUAGCCGACCUGAGAGGGUAAUCGGCCACAUUGGGACUGAGACACGGCCCAAACUCCUACGGGAGGCAGCAGUAGGGAAUCUUCCACAAUGGACGAAAGUCUGAUGGAGCAACGCCGCGUGAGUGAAGAAGGGUUUCGGCUCGUAAAACUCUGUUGUUAAAGAAGAACAUAUCUGAGAGUAACUGUUCAGGUAUUGACGGUAUUUAACCAGAAAGCCACGGCUAACUACGUGCCAGCAGCCGCGGUAAUACGUAGGUGGCAAGCGUUGUCCGGAUUUAUUGGGCGUAAAGCGAGCGCAGGCGGUUUUUUAAGUCUGAUGUGAAAGCCUUCGGCUCAACCGAAGAAGUGCAUCGGAAACUGGGAAACUUGAGUGCAGAAGAGGACAGUGGAACUCCAUGUGUAGCGGUGAAAUGCGUAGAUAUAUGGAAGAACACCAGUGGCGAAGGCGGCUGUCUGGUCUGUAACUGACGCUGAGGCUCGAAAGUAUGGGUAGCAAACAGGAUUAGAUACCCUGGUAGUCCAUACCGU